This is a long non-coding RNA of Lynx canadensis (Canada lynx), 2657 nucleotides long. RefSeq lists it as uncharacterized. The transcript has 5 exons. NCBI's taxonomy places the organism in Eukaryota, Metazoa, Chordata, Mammalia, Carnivora, Felidae. The record is from RefSeq and is a predicted model, not a curated record.
GCUGGUAGGAAUAUUAGCCUAGAGAUACUGGCAGGUACCACACGGAGGAUGAGGUAAACAUAGGACAAAGCAGAGCUGAGCAAGAAAGAAGACAGAUUCCUGAGGACCAUACAAAACCCAGAUCCAGCCAUGCUCACAGUUGAACAUCUUGAAGUCAUCUGACCAUCUGGUUGAGCAAAGACCAUAGCCACCAUUUCUGGAUGAGAAGGCGGAGACUUGGGGGUCUGGGACACAUGGCUCAUCAGAGGUGGAUCUGACCUACGGUUAUCGCGAGAGAGUCUCUGCCAGGGGGUUCCUGUAUCCUCUGGUCUCUCUCCUGGUCUCCUGUUCUGGCCUUCCUCACCAGUGACUCUGGAGCCUCCCAGCCCAGAGAUGCCCUUGACUGUAUGUUCUCUGGGUCUGUCUUGUCUGUAAUUGUACCUCAGGGCCUGCCAUAGAAGCUCUUGGCGAAUGCUGGUGGAAAGAAUGAAUGAGUCAUUAAACCCCCUGUGGCUGAUUGGGGUUUGGAGGGGUUCAGAAAAUCAGGAACUCGCAGAGCUUCCCCUCUUCCACCCUGCCCCUGAACUUGGCACGCACGACAGCCUCUUGCCCCUCACCUUACCUGAAAUUUUGCUCCAACCCCUCUGCCCUUCCCUGGACCAUCUCAUUCAUGAAUGGUGGUAUUGGCCCGUCUUGGGUAGCUGAGUGAGGGAUGAGCUUCCACUCUAACUCCCGUACCCUGCCCCUGUUGCUCCAUUCCAAAGGCUCAGGCACCCCGGAACUCCUUUCAGAAACACACCCUGAAGGGCCAUGGCUGCUGCCCACCAGCACGCCAGAAGUGGCUGUCACGCUGAGACGUUUGCCCAGAGCUGGGGCGGCAGCGCUGAUAUUUUUGUAGCGGUGGAGAGUCCAGAAGCUGCUCGAGGAAGCAGGGAAGUUCCCUGAAGUGUACUGCAAACCUAAAAACACCGCAAACCCGUCUUUCAUCACCACCUGGAUGACUGUUUGAAGAGAAACAGAAAACAGCUCUUAACCCCUGAGAGGCUGGGCUCGCACUGAGAGAACAUGCUGUGGCCUCCCGCUCGCUGGGCAGAUGAGGAAACCCAAGCCCGAAGUAGGAACCAAAAGAAUUGGACUCUUUCUGGGAUAUCUGGAGCCUGCCUGAAGAAAAGUGAAGAGGCUAUUUAAGCAGUUUUAAGGAAUUUAUCUGGGAAACGAGGAAGGCUACUGACCAGCAAAUCCAAGCUGUUUAUAUGGGUCUGGAUGUUGUGUGCAUCUUCAGCAGGAACUCCCCUGAAGUGCUUAAGUUUUGAACUUCCUGUCUCCCUUAUGACCAUUGCAAAUGGAACCAUCCACUUGACACACUUCUCUAUAUCACACCACUGAUACCCUGCAACGAAAAUAAAUUUUAGGCUCAAUUGGUUUGGAAGUUUAGUACACCUUGUGAAUGGACCGGAAAGCCAACGUACCUGAAACCUUUUGCAUCAAUUCAGAGGAAGAGAAAUGAUACAAGGCAGAAGCAGCAAGUACACCAUAGGGAAAUUCUAAGCAGCCAACAUCCAGGACACAAAGAUCUAAAAGCUAUGGAGAAGAAAAAGAACACUGAGGCAGAUGGCCAACAUACAUCCCUUCUAGAGUUAAUCUAAUGACGGGGUAGGCAGCCCCACAGAGGUAACAGAGCCACUUACCUCUGCAAUCUGUAUGAAGAUUUGCUGGGGAUACUGUGGCAGGAGCACUUCAUAUAAAUCAUUUAGAUAUGCAACCUGCAUAUAUACAUUCAGCCAGGACACAAUGGUCAGGGGACUUAAAUGCCACUUAAGGGCCUAAGGGAAAACAGACAAAAGAGACCAAUGGUUGAGAAAAGAAAAAGGUAUUUCUGCUCCCCUUGGGCCUCUAAAGGAGUUCAAAAUGAAGCCAUGUUCCACGCCACAAUGUGUCCAGCUGGAGAACACCUAGGCAGAUGCACUCACACGAAUGUGGAAAAGCUAUUAUGUAUGCAUUUUUUAAAAAGGACUGAAAAAUUAACUUGUAACAUACCUUCAUAAUGAUUAAUUCCAUGCUAAGAAUUUCCUCUCCUGAACAAGCCCCAUCUGUAACAUACGCAAACUGGUGCAGCUUUGGAGGAUAGAUUUCCUAAAAGGAAAUAUAAGGGAGAAACAACUAGCAAAAAUCUCUAAUAGUUUUAACUUAUAAUGUACAUCCAAAUAUUGUUUUUAGUAUUCUACCAGGAAAAGAGAGAGGGAGCACCAUGGAAUACAUAUAGGGGCUACUCUGCUGGUCAAAAUGUGUUCACUGUGAAAGAAACAACUCCCCCCGCCCCAAUAAAGAAAUGCAUAAACACAAUUUCUAUUCAGUGGGGAGAGUUUUGAAAUUUUCACCUUUUUAAUACCUUUAGCAACAUGUUUGCAAGUUAGGCCCAUCCACCCUUCUAAGCAUUCCAAAAUUUUUAAUCCUCUUGGGUCAAAGUUCAAUUUUUUGGCUUAAAGUAACUACAUUAACUUAAACAUUUUAUAGACUCACUACUUCUCUCACUUCUUGGUUAAUUUCUAGCCCUUUCUGCAUGUAUCUUUACUUUAGAUGACCUCAAAUUAGAAAAACGUAGACAAAAAGUUGGCGUCUUCCAGUAAUCUCAGAGGAUCUCAAGAAACGGCAUAUGCCACAUAACAUUUGAAAAUGAU